CCAAUAGCGUAUAUUAAGGUUGUUGCAGUUAAAAAGCUCGUAGUUGAAUUUCGGGAUCAUCAGGUUGGUCGUGCCUCUGGUAUGUACUGAUUUCGAUGGUCCCUCCUUCUUGAAGAGCCGUAAUGCCAUUAAUUUGGUGUUGCGGGGAAUCAGGACUGUUACUUUGAAAAAAUUAGAGUGUUUAAAGCAGGCAAUCGCUUGAAUACAUUAGCAUGGAAUAAUGAAAUAGGACGUUCGAUCCUAUUUUGUUGGUUUCUAGGAUUGACGUAAUGAUUAAUAGGGAUAGUUGGAGGCAUUAGUAUUCAAUUGUCAGAGGUGAAAUUCUUGGAUUUAUUGAAGACUAACUACUGCGAAAGCAUUUGCCAAGGAUGUUUUCAUUAAUCAAGAACGAAAGUUAGGGGAUCGAAGACGAUCAGAUACCGUCGUAGUCUUAACCAUAAACUAUGCCGACUAGGGAUCGGAUGAUGUUAAUUUUUUAAUGACUCAUUCGGCGCCUUACG
Molecule: ribosomal RNA, 500 nt
Filed under: uncultured Glomeromycotina
Lineage: Eukaryota; Fungi; Glomeromycota
Description: partial small subunit ribosomal RNA
Rfam family: Eukaryotic small subunit ribosomal RNA
Source: RNAcentral